GAGAGCAGCACCCACAGUCAAGCAGACAUCUCCCAGCAGCAGAAUCCGGAGUCCCAGAAAUCUUGACUUUGCAAGAUGGCAUGUCAGUGGAAAAUUCCAAGGAACUAGAAACAAGUCACUCUUUGAAGCCAUGAUGGAAAUCUCCUCUGGGACCAGAUGCUAUGGCAGGUGCUAAACUUACAGUAUGGAGAGAUUUCCUUUAUGGGCACAAAAUGCCCCUUCCCGGGAUGUUCUGCAGAGGAGGCCUUUCUACUUUCGCCCUGGACAACUCUUCAUUCAAGGACUGCAUGCAAUUCUACUCAGAGAUCUUCAUAAAAUCUUAAGGGAAAAAUCCUUUUUGAAAGAAAAACAACUCUGGGUGGUGCUUGAAAAUUCAGAAGGCAGCUAGAAGCUUUGCCAAUGACAACUAUCCUGUAUUCCUUGAUUUUUCUCUUCAUUGCUAUGCAUGCACUUUGCACCAUUCCUUGCAAACCAAACCAAAAUCUCCACAGAAAUCCCCGUAAGUCUGUUAAGCAUAAAGAAUAAUCACAGAUAUUUUAUGGAUUUGGCCAAAGAAGGUAACUACUUCUUUCUAAGAGACUUUCCACAUCUUGAUGUUGCGUCUCUGUUUUAUCCCUAGGUGAGAGGGAAGCAUCCCAGAUUCAGACUCCAGAAGGAUCGCAGAAGUCCUACCUGGGUCUCAGCUAUUUGCAAGUCCAACGAUGUGAGCCCGAGAGAGGCCGGGAGUGUUUGGCAAAUGUGAUGUCUUAAUGGGCUGGAGCUGUUUGGUGGAAUUUGUAACCUACAAGAGAUUUCAGACCAUAUGACUAAAUGCUAAUGGAUUGGUCUGAGGCAGGUUUUAAAAAUACACCAUUUUAUCUACUCAUAGCAGAGUUAACAGGUUUUGAUGACUCUGGCCCUUUCUUUUGCCAUGCGUACGUUACUGGGCCAAAUAACCUGGCUGCGUUGGAAACCAGUUUCGAAUUACUUGCAGGUGGCUGGAGGCAGAUGAAAGCUGCCACAGAGGUGUUCCUCACGCUGUUCUCUAGUCCCCGGUCUCUCGGGCGGUGUGCUGACACUUGGAUGCUUGUUUUACAAUAUCAUUUGACAAGUGGGAUUUAUGUGUCAAAAUUUCCGCCAAAGCCAAGAAAAUGUCAGAGUAAGCAAAGUGAGGAAGCAUGAGAAAAGGGGAAAAGGGGUGGGGGCUGCUUUUUUAACGCAGGAGUGGGCGAGCUGGACCCUGCCAGAUCCUAACUCCACCAAACACACAGGGAAAUUGACCAGGCUGCCAAACGCCAGAGCUUUCUUCGGUGUGUUUUUGUUCAGUGCCGUUACUGCCUUUAUCAUUAAGGAAGCGAUGCAAUAAAAGCGAGGCCUUUUCCCUGAACGCAUGCGUGAAGAUAACUUAUUGGUCCAAGUCCAAAACCACUGGAGCCACGUUUAAUUUGCUGCGUUUAUUUUGUUCUGGGAUCUGGUGUACAGAGGUGCUUGGGGUCGCAGAGACAUCAGUGGACGCACCGAUAAUAAGUACAAAAGGAAGGGUCUUGUGCUUUCUUGGAAUCUUCAAAAUACUCUGGUUAUGAAAUAUUCAUAAAUCCCCCUAAGCUUGGUUGAACUUUCCCGAAGGUUUUUAUCAUAUGGUUAUUUUAAAAAGAUUAAACACACACUCACACACACAGAUCCCUAAACCUUACCUGAAACAGUUAGUAUGUCCUAUUAACUCCCACAUGAGAUAACUUUUUCCUCACUCUUUCUGUGGUGUGGGGCAGGGAGAGGCGACAAGAGAUUGACUGUUUAAGUCUCCUCAAGACCUGCGCUGUUUGCUCACUCAGCACAUUAAGAGCAUGUGUGCAUGACUUCAUAAACUAUCGGAUGACAUGCAACCUUCUUUAGACUCAAUAAAGAAGAGUAAUGAGUUAUGCAAAGUUAUUUCUGACACGGGGAACAGUAACUUUCCAAAAAGGCACCAUUCAUAGGGGCCAGGCUGGCCCGGCUCAGGGGCCAUCGUGCGUUAGUUCCAAACACUCAGGAAAGAAGUGUGGCUGCGACACCAUGUCAUGUGCCAAAUGUAAUAAGUGGGUUAUGAACAAAUCACUAUAAAGCAUAGUAACAAAUGCCCAUACUCUCUCCAUUCCAUCCCUCUGCGGGGAUUCAGGGCCUCCGGGGUCAGAAUCGACUGCCUAGGGAAGGUUUAGGAAGUGUGAGUGUGUGUCCUCCCGAUGCCAAUGAAAGACACAACAUCUCAGUGGCCAUCAGCCUGGGGUCUGAAGAUACCUAAGCUGAAAAUGCUGAGAUUUGGCCAAAGUAAUAAGUACAUUGGCUCUCCUUGUAAUCUCUGGGUUUUUGUUUAAUGGCAAUCUGGGUGUAACCUCAAUGUAAGGCAAGAAGCACUCAAAUGAACACGUAUGUUUACUCGAUAGGGAGAGACAGAUACCGAUAUGUAUUUGGGGGAUGUCCUACCUUUCUAACUUUCUCAGCCUUCCUAUGUGCAACUUAGAGUGUGUUUUCCGCCAGGAUUCUGGGCCAUCAAAGUGUCAAUUUUUCCCAUCUGCAGAUGGCUAAGUAAUUUCUCCUUGUGGAAAUGGUGUUUAUGGGGGAAAUAUCAUGUGUAUAGUUGCUACUUAGUUAAAAUAAAUGCUGGGAAACAUACCUGGGGCCCAUCGGCAUCGGAAGCACCUUAUAAAGUGGCCCCGAAGCUGCCUUGCUGAUUUAGAAAUUUUGAAAGUAAAAAGAUUGGGAUUUUGGAAAACUCCCACUUCAUAUGAUGUCAGUGGGUUAACUGUGUGCUGUUAACUGCUAAGAAUCAUCGUUUUAUUAGUGGUUUAACUAGUACAAACUGCCUACUAGGAGAAGUGUACAGAAGCACAAUGAACGAACCUAGCAGGCACAGACAUUUAUUUUUUCCCCAAUUCUGUUAAG
Molecule: non-coding RNA, 2898 nt
Organism: Microcebus murinus (gray mouse lemur)
Lineage: Eukaryota; Metazoa; Chordata; Mammalia; Primates; Cheirogaleidae
Source: RefSeq, a predicted model, not a curated record